AAUAACUAAAGCUCUAAACGCCACGUUUUAUAUAGACACAAAUCCUAUGUUAUUACAAGCUAUCAUCGCCGAUGACGAUAGUAGCUCUAGAUUAUCUUAUGGGACGCUAUCAAUAUCGAAUAAUUCUCAAAUUUAUCAUAUUCACGAUUAUAGAUAUAUUACUGAUGAUAAUAUCACAAAUCUAAGAUUUGUGCAGCCUUACGGGAAAUCGCUUCAAAUUCAUGAAUUCCACGAAUCAUAUAUAAUUGUAAAAGGUUUCUUGAAACAUCCAUUCAAAAAAUUGAGAGCCAUAUUUUACAACUUAUCGAAC
This is a long non-coding RNA of Gordionus sp. m RMFG-2023, 310 nucleotides long. RefSeq lists it as uncharacterized. The transcript has 3 exons. NCBI's taxonomy places the organism in Eukaryota, Metazoa, Nematomorpha, Gordioida, Chordodea, Parachordodidae. The record is from RefSeq and is a predicted model, not a curated record.